Molecule: long non-coding RNA, 628 nt
Organism: Scylla paramamosain (green mud crab)
Lineage: Eukaryota; Metazoa; Arthropoda; Malacostraca; Decapoda; Portunidae
Exons: 5
Source: RefSeq, a predicted model, not a curated record
GGCAAUGUUUCCUUCAGCCCUGCUGUGUGGGGACGGUUAGCACUCGGUGUCUGAGCGGCUCUAAGCUACAAAAGACUGGCGUGUGUGAGGGAAGAAUGGUGAACCAGUCAACACCACACCAGCUCUCCACACCAAGCAGGACCAGCAGGUGUCUUGUGAUGUAGCAGCGUUAUAUGGCAGACGCGCGGCGCCCAGUCUGGUGAAAGUGACGAAGGGAGGGAGAAGUACGCCUGCUGUACAACGUUAAGGUGAGCCUGGUGAUGGUGGUGGUACCAGGAUCAGGGUGACGCGGCGCGGCGUAGUGCAGGGCCAUAGCGCGCAGCAACACACGCCCCUCCUGCACCAUCACGCCGGCGGGAGGCAAGGGACUGGGGGGCCCGCUGCUGCCGCUGGAAGGACUGUAGAAGGAGACACCGGUGCUCCUAGCAGGGAGAGACUUGGACCGCCCCCUGCAGAAGGAACAUGGGAAAUAAAACUACAGGACAGGGUCCUGGAACUCCUGUGUAUCUUCAGCUCAAAUCUAUUGAUACACACGUAGCAGCGACGCUUUACGAACCUAACGUCUCCUGCGGUGGGGACGCAGGGCGGCAGGCCUCCUACACAGAGCGGCGUGGUGGAGGGCAGGCGC